This 1053-nucleotide long non-coding RNA is filed under the name Olea europaea (common olive). RNAcentral describes it as "long non-coding RNA (OEUR_LNC007527)". The record is from RNAcentral. Lineage: Eukaryota; Viridiplantae; Streptophyta; Magnoliopsida; Lamiales; Oleaceae.
AUAAAACUAGCAAUUGCUUCCAAUCACAUAUGUUCGCAUAGACAAGAUCAUUUGAUUACCCAGUAGAACAUUGAUCACCCGUCAUGCAUACAUGGACUACCAUGUUACCACCGUAUUGGAUCGCUUCACCAUGUUAGUGUCACAUAGACAACCAUAUCACGCCGUUGCAUCAUACUUUUCAAUUCUUGAAACUUUUAGGGAUUUUCAACUUCUUGCGACGACAAGUACUUCUGAAGUGCCCCUCUAAAACGUUCAAUCAAGAGUUGUGUUUAAUUAUGAGUGAAGGAAGUGAAAUGGUUUAUAAGCAAGUCUAUCUUUGGGCUCACCUAUGCAAGUUUUAAUUUUGACCUACACAUAAUAGAAUUAGAUAUAAGCAUUUUUUAGUUAUGAAUGAUAUGAACAAAAAAUCAAUUGUGACAAACAUCCAUAAAAAUGAUUGGCGCUUUGUAACUUGGCCAUCCAUUCAUGAUCCCCAACCAGAAAUUUCUGGGCUUCGCAAGAACCUCCAAGUCUGGCAGAAAACUAUAUUUCACAUUUAAUAAACCAGAAAAUCGUUAAAAACACAAGAUUUGGCUUCUAUUGAGAUGGUGACAAUUGCUUGAUGAUUACAGAUUUUUGAGAUUACACGAAAUUUUGGAGAUUCCUAAGGCCUAUCAUUAAACAAAGAUAUCAUGUCCAAACACGAAACAACAUAGUAUAACAUUUAUUCUUCGUUAGAAAUAAAAAUUUAGUUAAAAAUAAACUUUCAAGCUUAGCCAAACAUAUAUCAAUGAAAUGUAGACAGAACAUACUAUUGGGGAACAAGCAAUUUUCUCUAGAAACUUCAUAUGCACACUCCAAACAACUUACAACCCUCAAGUCCAAGUUCAUAGUUUAAUUACGUAAUCACUGAAUAUAUUUUUUCACAAAGGAAUAAGAUAUUAGAUCAAACUUAUUGGAUUUUGUUUCUUUCAGUCGGACGAACUUGCUACUCGAGAUUUGCAUCGGGGGAAGCUUGCUUCAUAAUAGUUUGGCUAGAAUUUUUUCUUGCAUGAGUAGGAUCCUUUCCAUUGG